UACGUAGGUGACCAGCGUUGUCCGGAUUUACUGGGCGUAAAGAGCGCGCAGGCGGUCGAUCAAGUCGCGUGUGAAAGCCCCCGGCUCAACUGGGGAGGGUCACGCGAUACUGAUCGACUCGAAGGCAGGAGAGGGUAGUGGAAUUCCCGGUGUAGUGGUGAAAUGCGUAGAUAUCGGGAGGAACACCAGUGGCGAAGGCGACUACCUGGCCUGUUUCUUGACGCUGAGGCGCGAAAGCUAGGGGAGCAAACGGG
This 254-nucleotide ribosomal RNA is filed under the name uncultured bacterium. Its description in RNAcentral is "partial 16S ribosomal RNA". It matches the Rfam family "Bacterial small subunit ribosomal RNA", at positions 524 to 776 of the family's 1533-position model. The record is from RNAcentral.